This 66-nucleotide transfer RNA is filed under the name Microcerotermes sp. I TB-2017. RNAcentral's name for it is "tRNA-Arg". Lineage: Eukaryota; Metazoa; Arthropoda; Insecta; Blattodea; Termitidae. The record is from RNAcentral.
AUGUGAGAAGCGAAUAUUUGCAAUCAGUUUCGACCUGAUCCUAGAUAAUUAAUUUAUCCUCACUUU